Molecule: ribosomal RNA, 437 nt
Filed under: uncultured candidatus Brocadiaceae bacterium
Lineage: Bacteria; Pseudomonadati; Planctomycetota; Candidatus Brocadiia; Candidatus Brocadiales; Candidatus Brocadiaceae
Description: bacterial SSU rRNA
Rfam family: Bacterial small subunit ribosomal RNA
Source: RNAcentral
GUGACGAAGCGACGCCGCGUGUGGGAAGAAGGCCUUCGGGUUGUAAACCACUGUCGGGAGUUAGGAAAUGUAAGGGUGUUAAUAGUAUCCUUACUUGACUAAGGCUCCGGAGGAAGCCACGGCUAACUCUGUGCCAGCAGCCGCGGUAAUACAGAGGCGGCAAGCGUUGUUCGGAAUUAUUGGGCGUAAAGAGCACGUAGGCGACCUUGUAAGUCAGUUGUGAAAGCCUUCUGCUUAACGGAAGAACAGCAGCUGAUACUGCAAGGCUAGAGUACGGAAGGGGAGAGUGGAACUUCUGGUGGAGCGGUGAAAUGCGUAGAUAUCAGAAGGAACACCGGCGGCGAAGGCGACUCUCUGGUCCGUAACUGACGCUGAGUGUGCGAAAGCUAGUGGAGCAAACGGGAUUAGAUACCCCGGUAGUCCUAGCCGUAAACGAU